GACACUGUUGACCAUACAAUACUUUUGGACAGGUUAGAAAACUGGGUGGGGCUUUCAGGCACAGUCUUAAAUUGGUUCAGAUCCUACCUACAAAAUAGGAACUACUUUGUUUCCAUUGGCGACUUUGUAUCAGAAUCAACCAACGUGAUGUGUGGAGUCCCACAAGGUUCGAUCUUAGGACCCUCUUUAUUCAACAUCUACAUGCUCCCACUAGGGCAAAUCAUGCAUAAUAACAAUAUUGACCAUCAUUGCUAUGCUGAUGACACGCAAAUCUAUGUAUCGCUAUCACCAAAUGACUAUCGGCCCAUAGAUCUGCUGUGCCAGUGCAUUGAGCAAGUGAAAGACUGGAUGUGCCGAAAUUUCCUUCAGCUAAAUGAGGAUAAAACAGAGAUAAUUGUAUUUGGUGCUAAAACGGAAAGGCUUAAAGUAACCCAACACCUUCACUCUCUGUCCCUGAAAACCUCAAUCAAAGCCAGAAAUCUAGGGGUUAUCAUGGAUUCUGAUUUACAAUUUUGAAAGUCACAUCAAAUCAGUUACAAAAUCAGCAUAUUAUCACCUUAAAAAUGUAGCAAGACUUAGAGGGCUCAUGUCCACCGAAGACUUACAAAAACGUGUACAUGCCUUUAUCACUAGUAAGCUUGAUUACUGCAAUGGUCUCCUUACAGGUCUCCCAAAACAAACUCUAAGGAAGCUUCAGCUUGUUCAGAAUACUGCUGCUAGAGAUUUAACAAAGACCAAAAAAUUUGAACAUAUUACACCAAUUCUUAAAUCGUUACAUUGGCUUCCUGUAGGUCCGAGAAUUGAUUUUACAAUCAUGUUGCUAACCUAUAAAUCCCUACAUGGUUUAGGCCCAAAAUAUUUAACUGAUAUGCUUCCACUACAUAAGCCUUCUAGAACACUAAGAUCUUCUGAGACCAAUCUGUUAAUUAUCCCCAGAGUAAACACGAAACAUGGGAAAGCAGGAUUUAGUUACUAUGCAACAAAUAGCUGGAAUAAACUCCAUGAGGAUUUAAGACUUGCCCCAACUCUGAGCACCUUUAAAACAAGAUUGAAGACUUUUAUGUUUGCUUUAGCUUUCUGCUAAAUCUUAAGUACUUUACCUUUAUUUUACUAAAAUGCCUUUUUAACUUUCCCUUUAUUUUCUAUUUUUUUUUAAAUACAUGAUCUGAUACCAGAGAGAAAGGUUGUAUAAGGGUUAGAGUCCUGAGUUUGUUUGUAUAAGGGUUAGAGUCCUGAGUUUUCCUGAGUAAGGGUUAGAGUCCUGAGUUUGUUUGUAUAAGGGUUAGAGUCCUGAGUUUGUGUGUGGGUGGAAUUCUGAGACCGAGCUCCGUGGGAGGCGUUUCCAAGUUCUGUCUGGGUUAGAGUCCUAGAAUCUGGAUUGGAGUUCCAGAGAAAGGACCAAGUUCCUUUAGGUCGGGUUGUAGUCCCGACUUGGGUUCCAGAGAGACUGUUGAUCUGAUCUUAAAUACAUUGCACUUUCAAUUUUACUUACUAAAAAGCCUUUUUAACUUUCAAUUUAAUUUUCUCUUAAAUACAUUGCACUUUCUAUUUUACUCAUUUCUUGCAUAUGUUUUCUAUUAUUUUAUUUUAUUGUAUGACAAUGUUUAUAUGUGAAGCACUUUGAGUCUGCCUUGUGUAUGAAAAGUGCUAUAUAAAUAAAGUUGCCUUGCCUUG
This is a long non-coding RNA of Gadus macrocephalus (Pacific cod), 1674 nucleotides long. RefSeq lists it as uncharacterized. The record is from RefSeq and is a predicted model, not a curated record. The transcript has 2 exons. Lineage: Eukaryota; Metazoa; Chordata; Actinopteri; Gadiformes; Gadidae.